Molecule: long non-coding RNA, 285 nt
Filed under: Elaeis guineensis (African oil palm)
Lineage: Eukaryota; Viridiplantae; Streptophyta; Magnoliopsida; Arecales; Arecaceae
Description: long non-coding RNA (EGUI_LNC055918)
Source: RNAcentral
GGGGCUCUUAAGUCAUAGGCCAAGACCUAAAGCUUGUGUAGUCAUCCAAAUGACUAGUAAAAAGAAUAUUCAAUGGAAUGAACUGAAUAAGUGCCAUAUAAGAGAAGCUGACCAAAUCAAUUAAAGAAUACUCCUAAGUGUGAUAGACUGUGCUAUAGAUCGACUAGAAGGAGACAGUCGAAGCAAGCUAUUAAGGGAUAGGCCAAAUGAAGGUUAAUAACAGCUCAAGACCAAUCAUGUUCAAUUAUUGGUCUGAUAAAUAGAGAGUUUGGUCAUUUUGAUGAA